RNAcentral lists this ribosomal RNA (271 nucleotides) under uncultured prokaryote. RNAcentral's name for it is "partial 16S ribosomal RNA". It matches the Rfam family "Bacterial small subunit ribosomal RNA", at positions 524 to 794 of the family's 1533-position model. The record is from RNAcentral.
UACGGAGGAUCCGAGCGUUAUCCGGAUUUAUUGGGUUUAAAGGGUGCGCAGGCGGGGGGUUAAGUCGGCGGUGAAAUUUUGCAGCUCAACUGUAAGAGUGCCGUCGAUACUGGUCCCCUUGAGUGUGGAUGAGGUAGGCGGAAUUUGUGGUGUAGCGGUGAAAUGCAUAGAUAUCACGAGGAACUCCGAUUGCGCAGGCAGCUUACUAAACCAUAACUGACGCUCAGGCACGAAAGCGUGGGGAUCAAACAGGAUUAGAUACCCCCGUAGU